CGGCGAGUGAAGCGGCAACAGCUCAAAUUUGAAAUCUGGCCCUCGGGUCCGAGUUGUAAUUUGUAGAGGAUGCUUUUGGCGCGGUGCCUUCCGAGUUCCCUGGAACGGGACGCCUUAGAGGGUGAGAGCCCCGUACGGUUGGACACCAAGCCUCUGUAAAGCUCCUUCGACGAGUCGAGUAGUUUGGGAAUGCUGCUCUAAAUGGGAGGUAAAUUUCUUCUAAAGCUAAAUAUUGGCCAGAGACCGAUAGCGCACAAGUAGAGUGAUCGAAAGAUGAAAAGCACUUUGAAAAGAGGGUUAAACAGCACGUGAAAUUGUUGAAAGGGAAGCGUUUGCGACCAGACCUCGCCCCGGCGGAUCAUCCGGCGUUCUCGCCGGUGCACUUCGCCGGGCUGAGGCCAGCAUCGGUUUCCGCGGGGGGACAAAAGCGGGGGGAACGUAGCUCCCUCGGGAGUGUUAUAGCCCCCCGCACAAUACCCUCGCGGGGACCGAGGACCGCGCAAGGAUGCUGGCGUAAUGGUCGUCAACGACCCGUCUUGAAACACGGACCAAGGAGUCGAACAUUUGUGCGAGUGUUUGGGUGUCAAACCCUCACGCGUAAUGAAGGUGAACGUAGGUGAGAGCCCUCGCGGGCGCAUCAUCGACCGAUCCUGAUGUCUUCGGAUGGAUUUGAGUAAGAGCAUAACUGUUCGGACCCGAAAGAUGGUGAACUAUGCGUGGAUAGGGUGAAGCCAGAGGAAACUCUGGUGGAGGCUCGCAGCGGUUCUGACGUGCAAAUCGAUCGUCAAAUCUGCGCAUGGGGGCGAAAG
Molecule: ribosomal RNA, 809 nt
Filed under: fungal sp. BG87
Lineage: Eukaryota; Fungi
Description: eukaryotic LSU rRNA
Rfam family: Eukaryotic large subunit ribosomal RNA
Source: RNAcentral